This 497-nucleotide ribosomal RNA is filed under the name uncultured bacterium. Its description in RNAcentral is "partial 16S ribosomal RNA". It matches the Rfam family "Bacterial small subunit ribosomal RNA", at positions 28 to 507 of the family's 1533-position model. The record is from RNAcentral.
GAUGAACGCUGGCGGCGUGCCUAAUACAUGCAAGUCGAGCGAACAGACGAGGAGCUUGCUCCUCUGACGUUAGCGGCGGACGGGUGAGUAACACGUGGAUAACCUACCUAUAAGACUGGGAUAACUUCGGGAAACCGGAGCUAAUACCGGAUAAUAUCUUGAACCGCAUGGUUCAAUAGUGAAAGACGCUUUUGCUUUACUUUAUAGUUAGAUCGCCGCCGCAUAAGCAAGUUGGUAAGGUAAGGGCUAACAAGGCCAACGAUGCGAAGCCAACCUGGGAGGGGAACCGCCCACAUUGGAACUGGAACACGGUCCAACCUCCUACGGGGGGCAGAAGAAGGGAAUCUUCCGCAAUGGGCGAAGUCCUGACGGAGCAACGCCGCGUGGUUGAUGAAGUUCUUCGGAUCGUAAAACUCUGUUAUUAGGGAAGAACAAAGGUGUAAGUAACUAUGCACGUCUUGACGGUACCUAAUCAGAAAGCCACGGCUAACUACGUG